GUGUUCAACAAUACCAAAAAUAAAUUUGUUCUCAAGGUUAUUAGUCGAACAGGGGAAAAAUAAGGAAUUAUCGAUUUCCUUUUGGGAGUGCAUAUCCUUGAUAGGAUUUGGUGUAAAUUGUGUCGGCGAGGCAGUUGAUGCAGUGUCUUCAAAAGUGAUCAGAUGAAAUCCUGAAACUGGUUUUCUUUGUUCUAUCGUCUGCAUCUCCUUGAAGAAUCAGAAUCGUCUUUCGACAAGUGUGAGCCAAUGUGAGAGUGAGCGUGCAAGUUCCCUUAUAAGCAACCUGAUUCAUCUUAUUCCCAGUGUCAGAUAUCGACAUCUGAGUAAAGAACACUGCCGAUACUCGAAGAAGACAAGGCAUGGUGGCCGUGCAUCGCCGUAUGCACUUGUGCAGCAGUAGUGCGGAAGCAUCCGGAUGAUGGUUUUACAACUUGUGCUGGAGGAGGAAAACACAAAUCAAGCAUCUUACUAGAAUAUCGAACCACAGCCAUCGUUGGAUACCGCGAGCAGCAGCUCAAACUCCGAUCGGAGAUUGCAAAAUCUUUUCUUCUGGAUAAUUGAUGUUCAAUUUAAGUGAUUUGUGAUGAGGCAUGCAUCCGUAUGGGUGUGUAUCCUGACGUUCUACAACCUUCAAUCUUCAUCGUUAGCUGCCAUCGUAGCACCGCCAUGGAGUGAUCCGAACAAAAACCCCUGCGCCAGUCAGCCCGGGGGAUGGCAACUACUUUACUGGCCACCGCUCAAAAAAUGUUUCAAAAUCUUCCAGCUUGGGUACCCCUGCCCUGACACGAUGGAACUUAGCCCCGUGGGCGUAGGUUCCACCAGUACGGGAUCAACGGCCGAAUGUCGCUGUCCACCGGGAACGGCGCAAUCUCCACUGACCAAAAGAUGCCAUCAGCUGUUCGAACGAGGGCCGUGUGAAUUUGGACAGUUUUUCGCACCGAUUGCCGAUUCGGAUGUGAAGAGUGCCAUACCAAAGCAACGUUGGGGUACGUGCAAAUCAGCGGAGAUAUGUGAGAGCGGAAUGGUUUAUUGGCCGCAGGACAACAAAUGUUACCAGCUACAUACCAAAGGACCCUGCCCAAAGGGGAAAUUAAUUAGUUUAGAUAACGACGGGAUAGCUAAAUGCAAGUGUCAAAAUGAAGGAGAGUUGAGCAAUUAUUUCUACGAUGAGACGGAAACAUGCCAUGAGUUUUUCACUAAAGGGCCAUGCUUGCGUACAGGAGAGCUUUUUCUACCAUCUAAGAAAUGUGCAUGCCAUCAACGAUUACCGCAUUUCCAUAACGAAUCAAAUCAGUGUUAUGAAAUUGGCACCAUUGGGCCUUGUCCUAUUGGGCACACUUUCAUUAUAGCCGAUAAAAGAGGUCAACAAGAGGUAAGCUCAAUGAAGGCGGAAUGUAGAUGUAAGGACAACUAUGUUCUUUGGGAAAACGGCUACUGCUAUAAGCUAUACACACAAGGUCCUUGUGAGACAGGAUCUUUUCUGAUAGACGCAAAUGUCUGCAUACCAAACCCUUGUGAAAAAGGCAGAUUGUAUUUUCCAAAAGAGAAAACAUGUUAUCGUAUAGGUUCACAAGGUCCCUGUAGCCUACAUCAAGUGGUAAUAUUUGACUUCACGACAAGGCCCUCUUUGGAUGGCAUUUCCUAUAAUGGUAUCUGCGGAUGUUCCGGUGUCAUCCAUAAUCUGGAUCAAUCAUGCACAGAUGACGAAGUUCCUAAAAGUGCUUGUGAUAGUACGCCCGAUAUGAUAGAGAUAAAUAAACAGUGUUAUAAGCUUUAUACUCGAGGACCUUGUGGUCCAGGGCAGUGGCUAGAACCGAAGAAGUCGUCAUCCAAUGUACGAGCAGCCACAUGCGUUUGCCGGCCAGGAUAUACUUCGUACGAAGCACCCUUGCAAAACGGCGUGAUCGGCUGUCAACCACCGGCCGUUGGACUUGCCAGGUAUUUGAAUAGGAGACGGAUCCUUCAAAUUAGAAUUGGAAACAUUACGUUAGCAAUCCCACAUUAGUACUAACAAAUCAUCAAUACUAAUAUUUUUCCAAGCAUGCAGUAACGCAAACACUGAUGAAGCUAAUUCUCCCCCUUAGUAGAUGUAAUAGCAUGGACCGGUAACCAAAUUUUAUUUCACUCAAUUUACUAGGUGGUUCAUGAGUCUAUUAGGAUUUGCAUCGCCAGAACCAGAAGAAUACUGAGUUACCAAAAAAAGCGUGCUGUGGCAAUGGAUUUUCCCGAAAAGCAACGAGAUAAUCACGAUAUUAGUAUGUAAUGCAGCAACAACCCUAAUAUAUUCUUAUCGAACCCAGUCAAGUACACAACUAGCUUGCCUUCUCGCAAGAUCAAAGUUACGAUAAGUGAGAGUGCCAUAGUCGCAGAAAUGGUUGAACAAAAAAAACCGAGUGGAACAUUCCAUAUACCAAUGUCGACUGAGUAGCUUAGGUAAAAUCAAAUGUACAAUAAAGGAAAACACAAACUA
Aedes albopictus (Asian tiger mosquito) is the source of this 2470-nucleotide RNA transcript. RefSeq lists it as uncharacterized. NCBI's taxonomy places the organism in Eukaryota, Metazoa, Arthropoda, Insecta, Diptera, Culicidae. The transcript has 5 exons. The record is from RefSeq and is a predicted model, not a curated record.